RNAcentral lists this small RNA (54 nucleotides) under Salix viminalis (osier). The record is from RNAcentral. Lineage: Eukaryota; Viridiplantae; Streptophyta; Magnoliopsida; Malpighiales; Salicaceae.
AAGACCAGCUUUGGCAGCAGCUUUAGCUUUUUCAGCAGACAAAGGAGCAAUCUU